GAAGUAAACCAUUAAACCAUAUCAGAACUAACACAUUGAACUAAAAUAAAAAAUUAAACACCAAACAACAUACAUCAAUUACCGUUCGUUUGUAUGCAAAUGCCUCGUUCACAAAAAUAAGCAAUACCUGAUUUUAACCAACCACCAUAACAACAAUAUGGCCCCAUUUGGAUAGUUUUGGAUUUCAGUUAAGGCAUUUAGCAUUAUUAUUCAAUGAGAAUAGCUCAAAUUCAGAUUUGAGAGUUCACAAAGUGAUUUCGAUAUUGAGGUCGAGAACUCUAUCACUGACUUGAAAUCCUUCAUGUUAAGGAUCGUAGUUACACCCUGAUUUCCACAAAAUAUGUAUGUUUUAGCUCUAAUACAUCUUCCAUUUUUACCUUGCAAGACACCUCUAACUAAACCUCUUACAUCUACCACUAUUAUAAAGGGAACACCCUUUUAAUGUGAAGGUCAGUUCUUUUUUAGGUUGGCUCACAAUUUAGUUUCCUAAACUACCCCUUUACUAUCAAAAGAUACCGCUAAGAAGGAAAAAAAAAAAACUGCCACCGUAACUUUCUACUCCCCUCUCUUUCUAUUUUCACAUCUCAGAUUUCAUUACAGAUUAGUCUCAAUUGAAGAUUUUUCGCUUUCCGUGUUUUCCAUAAUACGUUCAGCACAUGCAUCGUGUGUGCCUAGGCGUCUAGUUUACGCUAAAAGUGAACAUCAAAUCCCUUCAUUUUAAAUCCAAGUCUAUCUAAACGGCCAUUGUAGGGGGUGCAAGCAAGGGUCCGGACUCCUACACACCUCCCAAUUGUCCCACUAACUAUACUAUAUUUUCAGGUUAAUUUGGAAAAGUUUUUAUAGGAUUGGUCCUGCAAGUCUCUUGAGUGAAAAAAAGUUGAUAAAGUUUUUAUAUAUGUGUGAAAACCCCCCUAAAACUUCUAACUAAAGAUUUCAUGAUGAAUUCACAAACACCAAUAUCAAGCCACUUCGAUGAAGCAUGUAGCACGAAA
Rhododendron vialii is the source of this 992-nucleotide long non-coding RNA. RefSeq lists it as uncharacterized. The record is from RefSeq and is a predicted model, not a curated record. Lineage: Eukaryota; Viridiplantae; Streptophyta; Magnoliopsida; Ericales; Ericaceae. The transcript is spliced from 2 exons.